RNAcentral lists this ribosomal RNA (253 nucleotides) under uncultured bacterium. Its description in RNAcentral is "partial 16S ribosomal RNA". It matches the Rfam family "Bacterial small subunit ribosomal RNA", at positions 524 to 776 of the family's 1533-position model. The record is from RNAcentral.
UACGAGGGGGGCAAGCGUUGUUCGGAAUUAUUGGGCGUAAAGGGCGCGUAGGCGGUGCGGUAAGUCUGAUGUGAAAUCUCCGGGCUCAACUCGGAGUCUGCAUCAGAAACUGCCGUGCUUGAGUGUGGGAGAGGUGAGUGGAAUUCCCGGUGUAGCGGUGAAAUGCGUAGAUAUCAGGAAGAACACCCGUGGCUAAGGCGGCUCUCUAGUACGGUACUGACGCUGAGACGCGAAAGCGUGGGGAGCGAACAGG